UGGGAGUUUACCUGCACAAAACUCUUUUUUUGCCUGCUACCAUCCACGUUAGAUAUGACUUGCUCCUCCUUGCCUUCCAUCAUGAUUGUGAGGCCUGCCCAGACAUGUGGAACUGUGAUAUAAGUCUUUUGAGGUACAGCCUGGCACAAAAAGGAUGAGAUUUGUGGGCAGAAUUUUGGAAGAAUAUCUCCCGAGAGAACAUUCAGGACAGGGCCCUACAUCUCCCCGAGAAGAGGUGAAAGAGACUGCUCCUAUCUGCUUCUGCAUCAAACUUCAGGCUCAAGACCUGUCCAGAAAAAAAAAUGUCUUCUUUCAGGGAUGAACUGCUGUCCUCAUCAGACGCCUUAUUUUGUUUAGAAUUCAAGCUCACUUGACAGGUUAUUGUGAAGAUUAAAUGAAUUAAUACAUGUGAAGCAACUGUAACAACUCUUGACAUGCGGACUUGAACACACUUGACCAGAGACUCUGGAGAAGAAUUUUGCCUUUACUUAAUAAUGCAAGAUCAUCAUUAUGGACAUCAAUUAUUGAACUGUGCUAUAGUGGGCUGGACUUCCAGAAGAAACGUUGUCAGAACUCUGCCCAACUGAAAACAAGCCUACUAAAAAUAAAUAAAUAAAUAAAAUUUUAAAAAAUUGAUUAAUUAAAAGAUCCCAUUGAGGAUGCCACAUUAUGUUUUUUCUUGGUUUUGAAGACGUUGACAAUUUUCUUCCAUUGGGAUUUGCUUGAUGCUUUUCUCAUGAUUACACUGGAACUGUGACUUUUUAGAAGGAAGAUCAUAGAGGAGAAGAAACUGAGGUUCAAGGACUAGUAACCAGCAGCAGAUCACACAGCUGGAAGACAACUAAGAGCAAAAAAACGGGCACAAUUAAAGUGCUAAGAAAUCACUGCAGACAGAGAACCU
This 901-nucleotide long non-coding RNA is filed under the name Homo sapiens (human). RNAcentral's name for it is "HSALNT0070091". The record is from RNAcentral. Lineage: Eukaryota; Metazoa; Chordata; Mammalia; Primates; Hominidae.